RNAcentral lists this ribosomal RNA (307 nucleotides) under uncultured bacterium. RNAcentral's name for it is "partial 16S ribosomal RNA". It matches the Rfam family "Bacterial small subunit ribosomal RNA", at positions 506 to 807 of the family's 1533-position model. The record is from RNAcentral.
AGACAGCAGCAGCCACGGUAAAACGGAGGGUGCAAGCGUUAAUCGGAUUUACUGGGCGUAAAGCGUGCGUAGGCGGCUUCUUAAGUCGGAUGUGAAAUCCCUGAGCUUAACUUAGGAAUUGCAUUCGAUACUGGGAAGCUAGAGUAUGGGAGAGGAUGGUAGAAUUCCAGGUGUAGCGGUGAAAUGCGUAGAGAUCUGGAGGAAUACCGAUGGCGAAGGCAGCCAUCUGGCCUAAUACUGACGCUGAGGUACGAAAGCAUGGGGAGCAAACAGGAUUAGAUACCCGAGUAGUCCCUGUCUCUUAUAC